GCCAGGCAUGGUGGUGCAUGCCUAUAAUCCCAGCUACUCGGGAGGCUGAGGCAGAAGAAUCAUUUGAAUCCAGGAAGUGGAGGUUGCAGUGAGCCAAGAUUGUGCCACUGCACUCCAGCCUGGGUGACAGAGUGAGACUCUGUCUCAA
This 148-nucleotide non-coding RNA is filed under the name Gorilla gorilla gorilla (western lowland gorilla). The record is from Rfam by way of RNAcentral. Lineage: Eukaryota; Metazoa; Chordata; Mammalia; Primates; Hominidae.